GGCAGUAGCUUUGCUACUGGGUAGGAGAGCGUCCCAUGCGGGGCGAAGCGGCGGCGCAAGCCCGCCGUGGACCGCAUGGGAGUGAGAAUGCAGACAUGAGUAGCGAAAGACGGGUGAAGAUCCCGUCCGCUGGACGACCAAGGGUUCCAGGGCCACGUUCAUCGUCCCUGGGUGAGUCGGGUCCUAAGGCGAGGCCGACAGGCGUAGUCGAAUGGAUGAACGGGUCGAUAUUCCCGUACCGGCAUGCAACCGACAAAACCGAAUCCGCGAGUACUAACCUCCGGGUCCGGGCUUACGUCUCCUUCGGGAGCCGGAUGCCCUGGCCUGUUGGGACCGUAACGGUAGUAGGUCAGCGCGGGAGUGACGCAGAAGGGUAGCCGGCCGCGGAGGUGGUCUUCCGUGGUCAAGCACGCAGCCCGUCCCACAGGCAAAUCCGUGGGGCGCGUGGGCGAGGUGCGAUGAUGGGCGCCGCAGGGCGCGAUAUCCGGUGAUCCCGGCUGCCGAGAAAAGCUUCGGCGUGAGGCGGCGUGCCGCCCGUACCCCAAACCGACACUGGUGGUCAGGUAGAGAAUACCAAAGCGAUCGAGCGAAUCCUGGUCAAGGAACUCGGCAAAUCACUCCCGUUCCUUCGGUUUAAGGGAGACCCCCGAUGGUGAAGCGGCUUGCCCGUGGAGCUUUUGGGGGUGGCACAGACCAGGGGGUAGCGACUGUUUACCAAAAACACAGGAGCGUGCGAAGGCGCAAGCCGCUGUAUACGCUCUGACGCCUGCCCGGUGCCGGAAGGUUAAGAGGAUCCGUCAGGCCUCGGCCGAAGCGGUGAAUUCAAGCCCCGGUAAACGGCGGUGGUAACUAUAACCAUCCUAAGGUAGCGAAAUUCCUUGUCGGGUAAGUUCCGACCUGCACGAAUGGCGUAACGACUUCCCCACUGUCUCGACCAGGAGCUCGGCGAAAUUGCAGUACGAGUAAAGAUGCUCGUUAAGCGCAGAAGGACGAAAAGACCCCGGGACCUUUACUAUACCUUGGUAUUGGCAUUCGGUGUGGAUUGUGUAGCAUAGGCGGAAGGCUUCGAAGCCACGGCGCCAGCCGCGGUGGAGCCGCAAGGUGAAAUACCGCUCUGUUCGCAUUGGAUGUCUAACCUCGACCAGUCAUCCUGGUCAGGGACAGUGCCUGGCGGGUAGUUUAACUGGGGCGGUUGCCUCCCAAAGAGUAACGGAGGCGCUCAAAGGUUCCCUCAGCCCGGUUGGCAAUCGGGUGGCGAGUGUAAGUGCACAAGGGAGCUUGACUGCGAGACUGACGGGUCGAGCAGG
This 1307-nucleotide ribosomal RNA is filed under the name human gut metagenome. RNAcentral's name for it is "bacterial LSU rRNA". It matches the Rfam family "Bacterial large subunit ribosomal RNA", at positions 1204 to 2397 of the family's 2925-position model. The record is from RNAcentral.